AGAUCUAAUAGCAUAUGACAGAAGAGGAAAUCAUGUUGGAAAUUCUCUCAGUAAUACCAUGAAGGACAGUUCUCUCAUUUUGGAAGGGGGAAAAAUUACACCAGGCACAAAGAAGAAGGAAACCAGAGUGGGUGACAAUUCCCCAGUGAUCUGGCCACGGUACUUUAGGAUAUCCAAGCUCUGCCUCCCUGGUGCUUGGAUGCAGGUGGGAAGAGGCAGGCAAGGGAUGAUACCAGAAGGUGGUAUCAUCAUCACCUCAUUACCUUUCAGGCUAUAAUAAAUAUAUUUUAAAAUUAAAAAGCAAUCACAUAAAUCUGGGCUGAAAUCUUCCAAGUGGCAAUUUCCGAUGAAGGUCACUGGAGUGCCCACACUGUUCAUUUCUCCUCCUUCCUUUCCUGCAGCGCACUGCAUCAGUUAUCCUCCUGAGGAAAGAAUAAAAAAACAAUUUCAGCAUCUAGGGUGGAAGAGGAGAGUGUUAAUUGUUGUGAAAUUUGACAGGGGGGAAGCCUCCCUGAACCCGCCGGGGCCAUUUAAAGCUUUUCUGCCCCCUCUAGACUAGCACAGGUGCACGCGCAUCAGACCUCAAAAGAGGGAAGACGUUUAUAUAGAAAGCAGUAAUACGUCAGGACUGGCCCAUGUCUGGAUGUGUCUCGUCUUACCCCCAGUUGUCAGGACAUGUCAUGUCGGCUGUCAGUAACAUUUCAUUCCUCUUUUCAGAAGAUGCAGUCAAAAUGCCAGUUAGCGUAGAAGUUGUGCAUGGGUCGGUUAAUUGCCUUGAAAUUAAAAAGAAAGACACCAAAAAAAAAAAAGAGAGAGAGAGAGAGAGAGAGAGAGAGAGAGAGAGACACCAAUGUGGUGGUGGUUUUAAUUCAGAGAGUUACUAAAAUAGAUAGGGAUUCUAGAAAAAAAUUAGGUCAUGUCUAAGUGGAAUUGAUAGGCCAUGAAAUGGACCCAGGUGAUGUUCUUGAAUAGGGAAAAGGGAACAUGUUACUAGUACACCCUUAGUUAAGAUUCCCUGUAGGGUCUGGAGCCCAGCCUGUGCAUGUGUGUUGUGUAGCCAGCCCAAGGGCUCCCCUCAAGAUGUCAAGCCCACCUACUUAACCCUACUGUCUAGCAAGUGGAACUAAGAUGAGGCAAUGCGUCUUAGAACUAGGGAUUACAGAAGCUGUUGAAAGAUCAAGAUAAUUUCUCUGCCUUCAGGGAGGAAUAAUCUAAAAUCAUUCUAUAUGUAUUAAAUUAUUGUUCAUAAAUUAUAUUUCUAUGAAAAACCUCACAGAGGCACCCAGGGGGAAGCUAUUUAGAAUUAAUUCAUCGCUGUCAGGAAAUUGUUCACAUGUAACCUCUCAUACUUCAGGCUCAGAUUUCCUUUUUCAUCCUUUUGUGGAGAGACGCACAGUGGCUGGUUAUUAUCUUCAUCCACCUUCUUAAUCUUUUUUUCCUUACAUAUAUUUGCUUCUGAAAUCUUUCCUCAUAUGCCCUUAAACAAUAUUCAUUGCCUGAUGUUGAGCCCUUCCUGAAAUCGGUUGCUUUCAUUAUGAAACCAAGCUGGUCUGUGUAUUCUGGAAAAAGUUUGGCCAAUUCAACACACAGAGAGCUAUGAUUUAAUGAUCCUGUGUUCCAGAACUCACUCCUCCAGGACCACACUCACCCUUUAAACCACAGCAUGAGGAUGGCUGAUGGCCAUUUAUUGUCUUGUUACUUUCCUACCAGACUUGCACGUGACUAUUCUGUCUUUCCCAAUAACAGUUCCUCACCAAAGGUUUCCUUCAUGGCCAGGAUUAAAUGGUUUUGACUGGUUGUUCAGUGAGUUUAUAGGACCCAUUU
Non-coding RNA from Callorhinus ursinus (northern fur seal), 1824 nucleotides. Lineage: Eukaryota; Metazoa; Chordata; Mammalia; Carnivora; Otariidae. The record is from RefSeq and is a predicted model, not a curated record.